AGCGUCUGGAAAGGCGCGCGAUACAGGGUGACAGCCCCGUACACAAAAGCGCAUGUGCUGUGAGCUCGAUGAGUAGGGCGGGACACGUGGUAUCCUGUCUGAAUAUGGGGGGACCAUCCUCCAAGGCUAAAUACUCCUGACUGACCGAUAGUGAACCAGUACCGUGAGGGAAAGGCGAAAAGAACCCCGGCGAGGGGAGUGAAAAAGAACCUGAAACCGUGUACGUACAAGCAGUGGGAGCACCCUUUUGGGUGUGACUGCGUACCUUUUGUAUAAUGGGUCAGCGACUUAUAUUCUGUAGCAAGGUUAACCGUAUAGGGGAGCCGGAGGGAAACCGAGUCUUAACCGGGCGUUAAGUUGCAGGGUAUAGACCCGAAACCCGGUGAUCUAGCCAUGGGCAGGUUGAAGGUUGGGUAACACUAACUGGAGGACCGAACCGACUAAUGUUGAAAAAUUAGCGGAUGACCUGUGGCUGGGGGUGAAAGGCCAAUCAAACCGGGAGAUAGCUGGUUCUCCCCGAAAGCUAUUUAGGUAGCGCCUCGUGAAUUCAUCUCCGGGGGUAGAGCACUGUUUCGGCUAGGGGGCCAUCCCGGCUUACCAACCCGAUGCAAACUGCGAAUACCGGAGAAUGUUAUCACGGGAGACACACGGCGGGUGCUAACGUCCGUCGUGAAGAGGGAAACAACCCAGACCGCCAGCUAAGGUCCCAAAGUCAUGGUUAAGUGGGAAACGAUGUGGGAAGGCCCAGACAGCCAGGAUGUUGGCUUAGAAGCAGCCAUCAUUUAAAGAAAGCGUAAUAGCUCACUGGUCGAGUCGGCCUGCGCGGAAGAUGUAACGGGGCUAAACCAU
RNAcentral lists this ribosomal RNA (849 nucleotides) under Salmonella enterica subsp. enterica serovar Give. Its description in RNAcentral is "partial 23S ribosomal RNA". It matches the Rfam family "Bacterial large subunit ribosomal RNA", at positions 337 to 1190 of the family's 2925-position model. The record is from RNAcentral. Lineage: Bacteria; Pseudomonadati; Pseudomonadota; Gammaproteobacteria; Enterobacterales; Enterobacteriaceae.